Molecule: non-coding RNA, 112 nt
Organism: Gossypium hirsutum (cotton)
Lineage: Eukaryota; Viridiplantae; Streptophyta; Magnoliopsida; Malvales; Malvaceae
Source: Rfam
UGAUUAUACCAGUAUUAAUGCAUCGAAUUCCAUCAGAAUUCCACAAUUAAGUGUACUUGGAUGAGAGUAGUAUUAGGAUGAGUAACCUUUCGAUAAUCAUAAAAAAAAUUAA